GACAGAGGCCUCGAGCGUUAGGCGGAAUCACUGGGCUUAAAGCGUGUGUAGGCGGGCCCGUAAGUGUCUUGUGAAAUCCCAUGGCUCAACCGUGGAACUGCUGGGCAUACUGCGGGUCUUGGGCCAACUAGGGGCAGCCGGAACAAGCGGUGGAGCGGUGAAAUGCGUAGAUAUCGCUUGGAACGCCGAAGGUGAAAACAGGCUGCUGGGGUUGCGCCGACGCUGAGACACGAAAGCCAGGGGAGCAAACGGG
RNAcentral lists this ribosomal RNA (253 nucleotides) under uncultured bacterium. RNAcentral describes it as "partial 16S ribosomal RNA". It matches the Rfam family "Bacterial small subunit ribosomal RNA", at positions 524 to 776 of the family's 1533-position model. The record is from RNAcentral.